AUUGAACGCUGGCGGCAUGCUUUACACAUGCAAGUCGAACGGCAGCGCGGGCUUCGGCCUGGCGGCGAGUGGCGAACGGGUGAGUAAUGCAUCGGAACGUGCCCAGUAGUGGGGGAUAGCCCGGCGAAAGCCGGAUUAAUACCGCAUACGACCUGAGGGUGAAAGCGGGGGACCGUCAGGCCUCGCGCUAUUGGAGCGGCCGAUGUCGGAUUAGCUAGUUGGUGGGGUAAAGGCUUACCAAGGCGACGAUCCGUAGCUGGUCUGAGAGGACGACCAGCCACACUGGGACUGAGACACGGCCCAGACUCCUACGGGAGGCAGCAGUGGGGAAUUUUGGACAAUGGGGGCAACCCUGAUCCAGCCAUGCCGCGUGCGGGAAGAAGGCCUUCGGGUUGUAAACCGCUUUUGUUCGGGAAGAAAUCCUCUGGGCUAAUACCCCGGGGGGAUGACGGUACCGGAAGAAUAAGCACCGGCUAACUACGUG
Molecule: ribosomal RNA, 484 nt
Filed under: uncultured bacterium
Lineage: Bacteria
Description: partial 16S ribosomal RNA
Rfam family: Bacterial small subunit ribosomal RNA
Source: RNAcentral